Molecule: transfer RNA, 70 nt
Filed under: Promethearchaeota archaeon
Lineage: Archaea; Promethearchaeati; Promethearchaeota
Description: Candidatus Lokiarchaeota archaeon (microbial mat metagenome) tRNA-Lys
Rfam family: tRNA
About the family: Transfer RNA (tRNA) molecules are approximately 80 nucleotides in length. Their secondary structure includes four short double-helical elements and three loops (D, anti-codon, and T loops).
Source: RNAcentral
GGCUAGCUCAAUUUGGCAGAGCAGGGGACUCUUAAUCCCUUGGUUGUAGGUUCGAGUCCUACGCGGGUCA